Molecule: ribosomal RNA, 667 nt
Filed under: Escherichia coli
Lineage: Bacteria; Pseudomonadati; Pseudomonadota; Gammaproteobacteria; Enterobacterales; Enterobacteriaceae
Description: partial 23S ribosomal RNA
Rfam family: Bacterial large subunit ribosomal RNA
Source: RNAcentral
UGUCUGGUGGGUAGUUUGACUGGGGCGGUCUCCUCCUAAAGAGUAACGGAGGAGCACGAAGGUUGGCUAAUCCUGGUCGGACAUCAGGAGGUUAGUGCAAUGGCAUAAGCCAGCUUGACUGCGAGCGUGACGGCGCGAGCAGGUGCGAAAGCAGGUCAUAGUGAUCCGGUGGUUCUGAAUGGAAGGGCCAUCGCUCAACGGAUAAAAGGUACUCCGGGGAUAACAGGCUGAUACCGCCCAAGAGUUCAUAUCGACGGCGGUGUUUGGCACCUCGAUGUCGGCUCAUCACAUCCUGGGGCUGAAGUAGGUCCCAAGGGUAUGGCUGUUCGCCAUUUAAAGUGGUACGCGAGCUGGGUUUAGAACGUCGUGAGACAGUUCGGUCCCUAUCUGCCGUGGGCGCUGGAGAACUGAGGGGGGCUGCUCCUAGUACGAGAGGACCGGAGUGGACGCAUCACUGGUGUUCGGGUUGUCAUGCCAAUGGCACUGCCCGGUAGCUAAAUGCGGAAGAGAUAAGUGCUGAAAGCAUCUAAGCACGAAACUUGCCCCGAGAUGAGUUCUCCCUGACUCCUUGAGAGUCCUGAAGGAACGUUGAAGACGACGACGUUGAUAGGCCGGGUGUGUAAGCGCAGCGAUGCGUUGAGCUAACCGGUACUAAUGAACCGUGAGG